AAUGAACGCUGGCGGCAUGCCUAACACAUGCAAGUCGAACGAAGGCUUCGGCCUUAGUGGCGCACGGGUGCGUAACGCGUGGGAAUCUGCCCUCAGGUUCGGAAUAACAGCGAGAAAUUGCUGCUAAUACCGGAUGAUAUCGCGAGAUCAAAGAUUUAUCGCCUGAGGAUGAGCCCGCGUAGGAUUAGCUAGUUGGUGUGGUAAAGGCGCACCAAGGCGACGAUCCUUAGCUGGUCUGAGAGGAUGAUCAGCCACACUGGGACUGAGUCACGGCCCAGACUCCUACGGGAGGCAGCAGUGGGGAAUAUUGGACAAUGGGCGAAAGCCUGAUCCAGCAAUGCCGCGUGAGUGAUGAAGGCCUUAGGGUUGUAAAGCUCUUUUACCCGGGAUGAUAAUGACAGUACCGGGAGAAUAAGCUCCGGCUAACUCCGUGCCAGCAGCCGCGGUAAUACGGAGGGAGCUAGCGUUAUUCGGAAUUACUGGGCGUAAAGCGCACGUAGGCGGCUUUGUAAGUUAGAGGUGAAAGCCUGGAGCUCAACUCCAGAAUUGCCUUUAAGACUGCAUCGCUUGAAUCCAGGAGAGGUGAGUGGGAUUCCGAGUGUAGAGGUGAAAUUCGUAGAUAUUCGGAAGAACACCAGUGGCGAAGGCGGCUCACUGGACUGGUAUUGACGCUGAGGUGCGAAAGCGUGGGGAGCAAACAGG
RNAcentral lists this ribosomal RNA (702 nucleotides) under uncultured Sphingomonas sp. RNAcentral describes it as "bacterial SSU rRNA". It matches the Rfam family "Bacterial small subunit ribosomal RNA", at positions 28 to 776 of the family's 1533-position model. The record is from RNAcentral. Lineage: Bacteria; Pseudomonadati; Pseudomonadota; Alphaproteobacteria; Sphingomonadales; Sphingomonadaceae.